This is a long non-coding RNA of Homo sapiens (human), 5226 nucleotides long. RefSeq lists it as uncharacterized. NCBI's taxonomy places the organism in Eukaryota, Metazoa, Chordata, Mammalia, Primates, Hominidae. The transcript is spliced from 2 exons. The record is from RefSeq and is a predicted model, not a curated record.
GUCCCAUUCUCCAUCCGAGGCCUUCUAGUCCCGGUGUCACUGUCGCAGCACCUGGCGUUCGUUAGCUCUUUCACCAGCGGCGCGGAGCGGGCGGUUUUGCUGUCACGGCACAUGUGGCACGGAGUUUCUCGGUGGCCGAAACCCUCUUUUUUCUCAGAGUCCAGUUUCUUGGUGACAGCGCUGUUGGUUGCGCCAUAAGGAAUGUUGUCCUUGACAACCCGCCGGCCGCAGUCAUUCGCAAGCUCCAGGCACCGACAUUUCGCAGAACUGAGGUCUCUCGGUCUCAGCACAGCUCGUUGCUCGAUGCCUCCAUUUUCUCGGGGCGACAGCACUCAGGUCGCCGAUCUGAGGGAUUCGGAGCUUCCCCAGCUGGGGUGAGCCUGGCGUUCCCGGGCGGCGGCGGCGGCGCUGGGCUAGGGGAGCCCGCCGCUCCUCCAAGCCGGUGACAGGGGAGCUGCCCGGGCGCCGUCUCUUCCCAGCGCCGCCGCAGAACCCGCAGAACAGCUCGACCUCCAGAACCCUGUGCUGUGGCGGCGGGGCUGGCGUGUCUGUCGCAGGACCCCGCAGAUUCGUCUGUCGUUGGCUUGUUGGUCCUAACAAGUUUCGAUUUCAGGGUGCCUGCGUUUCUUUUUCUUUUCUCUUCUUUUCCUUUUGUUUUGUUUUGAGACAGAGUCUCGCCGUGUCGCCCAGCCUGGAGUGCAGUGGCGCGAUCUUGGCUCACUGCAACCUCCGCACCCCAGGUUCAAGGGAUUCUACUGCCUCAGCCUCCUGAGUAGCUGGGAUUACAGGCGCUCGCCACCACGCCCGGAUAAUUUUUGUAUUUUUACUAGAGGCGGUGUUUCAUCAUAUUGACCAGGCUGGUCUCGAACUCCUAACCUCAAUAAUCUGCCCGCCUCGGCCUCCCAAACUGCCAGGAUUACAGCAUGAGCCGCUGCGCCCAGCCGGUGACUACGAUUUCUAUCCCCUGGUUCAAGUCGGGGAAUAGCCAAAAUGUGAUUUCUCAACCCAAGCAAGUACCCACUUAGGACAAACACCAGCCUAGCCCUGGCGGCGAUUUCUAGGUCGUAGGAAGUCGAUGUUUCGCCACAGAAAGGCUGAGUGACCCUGUGACUCAUUUCCCAGCAACUCCGGGUUUCCUGUAGCCUAAUCAUAACAAACGCAGAGUUAGCCCUGCCUCAAGUUUCUUUUUUCUUUUUCUUUUUUUUUUUUUUUUUUUUUUUUUUUUUGAGACAGAGUUUCUUUCGUCCAGGCUAGAAUGCAGUGGCGCCAUCUCGGCGAUCUCGGCUCACUGCAACCUCCACCUCCCGGGUUCAAGUGAUUCUCCUGCCUCAGCCUCCCAAAUAGCUGGGAUUAUAGGCGCCCGCCACCACACCCGGCUAAUUUUUGUAUUUUUAGUAGAGACGGGGUUUUGCCACAUUAGCCAGACUGGUCUCAAACUCCCGACCUCAGAUGAUCCACCCGCCUUGGCCUCCCAAAGCCUCAAGUUUCUAAGUCGUGGCAAGUUCCGGCUUCCUACUAGUACGGCUUGCUUUAGCUGCGCAGGAGAUGUUCAACUCCUGUAGAAAUCUGUGUACCAGCGAAUGCGAUUCAUUUAGGUUUAGCGAUGACCAGUUUAGCAGUGCCUGGGAGCUCUUACACCAAGGCUAGCUGCGCAACAUCAAGUCCCGCCUUAGCUAUGUUGGUGUUUUUUAAACUCCCAUGGAAGUCAGGAAAUGCCGGCAAAAGCGAUUUCUGGUUUACGAAGCUCGGUUUGACGAUAGCAAUUUCCGCCGAACGCGACUUUUUCCUCUUGUGGACCAAGUCGGGAUAUAUCAGCUACUACGAUUUUUUAGUCGUAAACAGGUUUAACCAUGACUGGGUUUUGUUGGUUUCUUGUUGUUGUUGUUGUUUGUUUUUGUUUUUGUCCUAAGAAAUGUAGACUUAGGUGUAACAUGUACCGGUUUAGAUCUAACAGGGAUAUCCUAAUCACAGAAUUGCUUCUUUUGGCAAUACUUGUAAUUUCUGCUUUGUAGGGUUGGUUCUCUCUAAUUUUUGCUUAUUUUUAAAUGCUCUUUUUGUGUCUUUUGCUCUGAGAACAAUGCUACCGGUAGUUUCCAGUGUGUUUGCUUUGCCUUUUUAUUUGAAUUUUAGAAUUUAUUAUUUUAAAAUUUUAUCUUAUUUAAAUGUUAUUCAUUUUUCUUCUACUAAUUUUGAGUAUCACAGCUUCGUACUCCUUGACUUGCAUUCUCUCAGGAGCUGGGGAGCCAAGCUCGGUCUCCGCUUCGGUGGUUUCAGGUCCCGGGUUCUGUCUGGCGGCUCUGCUUCUAAUGCGGAGCUGGCGGUUUUGCAGCAACGCUUUUGCCAGUAGCGCCCACUGAGCGGUUUUUCAGUUGCUGCACCGUUCUUAGCGCCCAACGGAACGUUUCCCGUACGCGGAGUCCAUAAGUUGUCUGUGUCGUCACUUUCUCGGUUCUGGCACCGCUAGUAUCUCCUAGGAACUUCCUAAACCCGUUUUACGGUGCAGAACGGUAAUUGCACCGAGCCUCUGUGCCAACUAGUACUUCCGUAAUACCGUUAGCCGGCUCUUUUCCUGUCACAACACAUUAAAACGUGUUAAAACACAUUAAACGGAUUAAACACAUUAAACGGAUUAAAACACAUUAAAACGUCACAACACAUUUAAACAGAGUCGGUCCAUUCCUCCAGACAGUAUGUUUCGGGAUGGAAGCACCCCUCCUAAGAAUCCGCAGUUUCUUUCUAGCAGCACCGUUAUGGCGCCUAAACGGAUAUUUGUUUGGCAAUACCAGCGCUAUCCGCUAGGUGCCGGCGCUUGCUGAGUCUCAGCGCCGCCAGAUUCUUGCUAGCGAGGUCCAGAGCAGUGCAGAGACCUAGCGGACAGUUUUCCGGUGGCAGCAAUGCUCAUUUCCCGGACACAGAUGGUUUUUGGCCCCUGAAGAACUCUUUAAUCCCUGCGUUUUGUAGCGCUCGUUCUCUGUAAGGUUUGCUUAGUAUCCGUUUCAUUUCGACUUCUUUUCUCGCUGUUUUUCUGUCGGAAUUACGAUUUGUUUUGUUUCUAUGUGCUCUCUAGAAUUUUACCGGUUUUCAUUUGUCUACUAAUUUUCGUGCAUUCGUUACUAUUGAGUUUCAUAAUAUCUGGGUGCCCUCUGCCCACGAGCUCCGGAGAGCAUAAAUACCCAGGCUGAUGGUAGUGCUAAAGGUUCUGCUUCAUCUCGUCAAUCAGCGCAAACGCUUAUGUCCUCCUGCUCUGAGGCUUAAUUAAGCGAUGGAGCAACAUUUUCUUGGCUAUGUGAAGCCUGCUUGAGAUUCCGCAGAGGUGGUGCCUGAGCUCCAGCCUCGGCCUAUUUUGAAUUCAGAAGACUGUGAUAUUACUGUGUGAGCCACCACUUUGGGAGGCCAGCAUGGGCAGAUCACUUGAGGUCAGGAGUUGGAGACCAGCCUGGCCCAAGUGGUGAAACCCCAUCUCUACUAAAAAUACAAAAAUUAGCCGGUGAUGAUGCAUGCCUGCAAUCCCAGCUACUCAGGAGGCUGAGGCAGGAGAAUCUCUUGAACUCGGAGGCAGAGGUUGCAGUGAGCUCAGAUCGUGCCACCGUCCUCCAGCCUAGGCAGACUGAGACUCCGUCAAAAAAAAAAAAUCUUAGAGUUAUAUUUUAUGAAAUAAUAGGUAGUCAUUAAAUGUCUGGGUCAUUCUCAACUUUACAAAAGUACUGUAGGCAAACAUUUUUCCAAAGAAAAAGUGUUAUUAUUAAAAGGAAAAUAGUUUUAUCUAAUUCAAAGGUUAUUUAGGAAAAAGGUAAAAACAUACUGUACAUUUUAUCAAAAUAAUUCCUGUGUAAUUAUUACUAGGUUUUUAUUUGCUUAGAAAAACUGAGAUUAAAAAAGGUUAUUAUAUCUACAUAACUUUCUGUAAUUCUUUUAACGUUUUUGUGUUACCAAGUUACAGGGCUUUCACUCCUGGGUCGAAAAAGGUCACCAACUCCUACUAAAUCUUAAACAUUAACAGCAACUGAAGCCUCAUCUUCAGACCUAAGAGAAGAUGAAAAUCAGAAGAAGCUGCAUUCACAAGACCUGUGUCCAGAAAAUUAAACUAUUCAACCCCCUAGUCCCAGGGACUAUUGCAGAAGAAGUGGGUGUUUGGACUUGUAAGGACCUACUUUAAGAGAGAAAGUUAGUUCAGUAUUUCUCUAUAAACAGUGGUUUUGUUUUGUUUUGUUUUGUUUUGUUUUGUUUUGACAGGAACUAGCUCUGUCACCUGGGUUGGAAUGCAGUGGCAUGAUCCUGGCUCACUGCAACCUCCAUCUCCCAGACACAAGCGAUCCUGCCACCUCAGCCUCCUGAGUAGCUGGGACUGCAGAAUAAGGUUCACACCCACCUCCCUGCAAUCUGAUUUGGACGGCCCAUGAGACCAGAAGAUUACAAAAACGCAAAAGAUGUUGACUUAUGAGUCCUAGAUACCCUGUAUCCGCUGGUGAAAGGACGCGAUGGAGUUGCCGUGUCCCCUCCGAGUUUGGCAGGCCCGGGAUUCCGCAAAGGAGGCGGCGGGACCAGAUGCCUCCAGCCCGGAGCUCAGUACAUUCGGUGUCCUGGAUGCUCCCUUCCUGUGCUUACCACUGCGAGCUCUCCUGGGCCGACCUAGAUUUCCACUGCCACAUACUUUCCGCUCCCUGCGUGCUUCCUUGCUGAAACUGCCGGCGAAAAGAUCUCUUUCCCAAGCCUCAGAGUACCUGGAGGCGGGGCGCAGAGUCGCCUGCUCUGGAUCCGGCGCAGGCAAUUCAGGAGGAGCCGCAGGAGCCCUCGGGAGAGCAGGAGGCUGCAUAGGGUCUCAACAUACGCCCGCCCGCCCCCGCAGCCUCCCUCGCAACUCGCCUCUCGCUUAGUGGACAGACGACUGGAGCCGGAGACUUCCAUCCGAGAAGACCUUUGAGAGUGUCAGCCUACUGCUGUCCCCUGGUGCCACCAACCAAAGUUCCAAGACUGCUGGCUGCAGAUGGCAUGCGCUUGGGGACAGACGCCCUGAGACUGUGUCCACGGCCCGCCUUUGGAAUCCUGGGCCCUGAAACUUCCUCUGAGACCUUCCAUUGGAUGAUCCUCUUGUAAAUAAAUAAAUAAAUAAAUAAAGUUACAAUAAUACCUGAGUUCUCUCAAAUGCGAUGGAAGAAGUUUCGCCUUCAGAUCACUUUAUGCCUUUUUUCCUUCCUCUUCUCAAUAAAAUUGUACACAAAUGUGAAA